Non-coding RNA from Streptomyces griseoruber, 69 nucleotides. The record is from Rfam. NCBI's taxonomy places the organism in Bacteria, Bacillati, Actinomycetota, Actinomycetes, Kitasatosporales, Streptomycetaceae.
CUUGAGAGAGCCCAUCCGCAGUGGUUCUUCGCGAUCCUGGCCGUAGGUCGCCAGCAGCGCCUGUGCCUC